Molecule: long non-coding RNA, 1125 nt
Filed under: Fragaria vesca (wild strawberry)
Lineage: Eukaryota; Viridiplantae; Streptophyta; Magnoliopsida; Rosales; Rosaceae
Description: long non-coding RNA (FVES_LNC004532)
Source: RNAcentral
AAAGACAUAUGAGCCUACACGUCCCAUACCGUGUAGAUGUCUCUAAUAUACGACCUAACAAAUCAGUAAUAUCUCACCACAUGUACCUCUUUUGUUAGUCGUCUUGUUAUACUCAUGGUCUCCCGAUCCGCAACCCGAUAAGAUCGUUUUAUCGAUGUCCGCCAUCGACAGGGCAUACUUUCCCUACAUUUGUGCACGUGUGGGCUAAUCAUAGAUCCCGAGGACAAACCAUGAGGAAACUCAACUACACAAAAUGUAUCUGUUCUAAUAAUCUCAUUCUCCUCUCCAUAAUCUCCAUUCUCAUAAUUUCUCACUAUUCCUGUCACACCCCUGACCCGGUGUCGGUGGUUUCCAAGCACCUGACGUCGGAUCCGAGGUGUGAGCGGGAAAAGUAAAAGAAAAUAAUACAAUUUCAAAUACUUUUCCAGAAAUAAAAGAAAAUAAAACGUUUACAAUAACAAAAACAAUUACAAAGACAAAACAAACAAGUCUGGCGUUCUAUCUCACUUCUAGUCUUCCGUAAUCCUUAUUGGCUCUCUUGUACACGUCAGCUAAACUAGACUUCUCAAAAAACAUGGCAUACCUGAACAAAAAUCUAUAAGGGUGAGCUUACGCUCAGUAGGGCCAAACCUUUUUAAGUUAUACUUAACUACGUCGCACAAUCAAGUUAUCAAAUAACAAACAAUUCUUUAAAUAUAAAUAAUGACAAUUCAAUGCAUAUAUGCAAAUGAACUUCCUCAACUCGAUUACUGGUUUAUUAGUCCAUACAUCAAAGACAUAUGAGCCUACACGUCCCAUACCGUGUAGAUGUCUCUAAUAUACGACCUAACAAAUCAGUAAUAUCUCACCACAUGUACCUCUUUUGUUAGUCGUCUUGUUAUACUCAUGGUCUCCCGAUCCGCAACCCGAUAAGAUCGUUUUAUCGAUGUCUGCCAUCGACAGGGAAUACUUUCCCUAUAUUUGUGCACGUGUGAGCUAAUCAUAGAUCCCGAGGACAAACCAUGAGGAAACUCAACUACACAAAAUGUAUCUGUUCUAAUAAUCUCAUUCUCCUCUCCAUAAUCUCCAUUCUCAUAAUUUCUCACUAUUCCUGUCACACCCCUGACCCGGUGUCGGUGGUUUCCA